Molecule: long non-coding RNA, 262 nt
Filed under: Phoenix dactylifera (date palm)
Lineage: Eukaryota; Viridiplantae; Streptophyta; Magnoliopsida; Arecales; Arecaceae
Description: long non-coding RNA (PDAC_LNC016839)
Source: RNAcentral
AAUUAAAUGCAAUUCAUCAUGAACAAGCCAAUGCUUUGACUACCCUAAGGAGUGGACGUGUAGUAGACAAUAAGAUUGGGGAGGACAACAAUAAGGAAGGUGAAGAAGAGGAUAGAAAUGUGUCAAAUGAAAAUCUAAAAUCUUCUUCUUCUUCUUCAGCUAGUCCACCUUCUGCCAAAACUCACAUCCCAAAGGCCCCAUUUCCUGAAGCUGUUAAUUCACCCUCUCCCUUUGGCAAAAAGGGAACUUCACUAGAGGAAAU